RNAcentral lists this ribosomal RNA (253 nucleotides) under uncultured bacterium. RNAcentral describes it as "partial 16S ribosomal RNA". It matches the Rfam family "Bacterial small subunit ribosomal RNA", at positions 524 to 776 of the family's 1533-position model. The record is from RNAcentral.
UACGUAGGUGGCAAGCGUUGUCCGGAUUUAUUGGGUUUAAAGGGUGCGUAGGCGGUCUUUUAAGUCAGUGCUGAAAUAUCCCGGCUUAACCGGGAGGGUGGCAUUGAUACUGGGAGACUUGAGUAAAGUUGAGGUAGGCGGAAUUGACGGUGUAGCGGUGAAAUGCUUAGAUAUCGUCAAGAACACCAAUAGUGAAGACAGCUUACUAAACUUUAACUGACGCUGAGGCACGAAAGUGUGGGGAUCAAACAGG